AUUGAACGCUGGCGGCAGGCCUAACACAUGCAAGUCGAACGGUAACAGGAAACAGCUUGCUGUUUCGCUGACGAGUGGCGGACGGGUGAGUAAUGUCUGGGAAACUGCCUGAUGGAGGGGGAUAACUACUGGAAACGGUAGCUAAUACCGCAUAACGUCGCAAGACCAAAGAGGGGGACCUUCGGGCCUCUUGCCAUCAGAUGUGCCCAGAUGGGAUUAGCUAGUAGGUGGGGUAACGGCUCACCUAGGCGACGAUCCCUAGCUGGUCUGAGAGGAUGACCAGCCACACUGGAACUGAGACACGGUCCAGACUCCUACGGGAGGCAGCAGUGGGGAAUAUUGCACAAUGGGCGCAAGCCUGAUGCAGCCAUGCCGCGUGUAUGAAGAAGGCCUUCGGGUUGUAAAGUACUUUCAGCGGGGAGGAAGGGAGUAAAGUUAAUACCUGUGCUCAUUGACGUUACCCGCAGAAGAAGCACCGGCUAACUCCGUG
This 490-nucleotide ribosomal RNA is filed under the name uncultured bacterium. Its description in RNAcentral is "partial 16S ribosomal RNA". It matches the Rfam family "Bacterial small subunit ribosomal RNA", at positions 30 to 507 of the family's 1533-position model. The record is from RNAcentral.